ACGAAAAAUCACGGGGUGCUGAGAGAAUCGGCUGAGAUGAUACCCAUUGAACCUGAUGCAGAUAAUGCUGACGCAGGGAGAUAUGAUAUUACCGAA
Molecule: regulatory RNA element, 96 nt
Organism: Prevotella sp. CAG:732
Lineage: Bacteria; Pseudomonadati; Bacteroidota; Bacteroidia; Bacteroidales; Prevotellaceae
Rfam family: TPP riboswitch aptamer (THI element)
About the family: Vitamin B(1) in its active form thiamin pyrophosphate (TPP) is an essential coenzyme that is synthesised by coupling of pyrimidine and thiazole moieties in bacteria. The previously detected thiamin-regulatory element, thi box was extended, resulting in a new, highly conserved RNA secondary structure, the THI element, which is widely distributed in eubacteria and also occurs in some archaea.
Source: Rfam